UGCCCGGUAGUGUAAUGGUAACACAUCAGGUUUUGGAUCUGACAUUCGAGGUUCGAGCCCUCGCCGGGCAGCCA
This 74-nucleotide transfer RNA is filed under the name Candidatus Omnitrophota bacterium. RNAcentral describes it as "tRNA-Gln". It matches the Rfam family "tRNA". Rfam says of the family: Transfer RNA (tRNA) molecules are approximately 80 nucleotides in length. Their secondary structure includes four short double-helical elements and three loops (D, anti-codon, and T loops). Lineage: Bacteria; Pseudomonadati; Candidatus Omnitrophota. The record is from RNAcentral.